This 431-nucleotide ribosomal RNA is filed under the name uncultured bacterium. RNAcentral describes it as "bacterial SSU rRNA". It matches the Rfam family "Bacterial small subunit ribosomal RNA", at positions 917 to 1341 of the family's 1533-position model. The record is from RNAcentral.
GGGCCCGCACAAGCGGUGGAGCAUGUGGUUUAAUUCGAUGCAACGCGAAGAACCUUAUCCAGGGUUUGACAUGCACGGAUCAACCCCAUGAAAGUGGGGCCACACCCGCAAGGGCGGAACGUGCACAGGUGCUGCAUGGCUGUCGUCAGCUCGUGCUGUGAAGUGUCGGGUUAAGUCCCUCAACGAGCGAAACCCCUGUCGCUAGUUGCCAGCAGGUAAAGCUGGGGACUCUAGCGAGACUGCCGGUGUCAAACCGGAGGAAGGUGGGGAUGACGUCAAGUCCUCAUGGCCUUUAUGCCCUGGGCUGCACACGUGCUACAAUGGUGGGUACAAAACGAUGCAAGACCGCGAGGUGGAGCAAAUCGCCAAAACCCGCCCCAGUUCGGAUUGCAGGCUGCAACUCGCCUGCAUGAAGUCGGAAUCGCUAGUAA